GGCCGUCGUCCGAUUGUUUGACGUUUGACAGGGGCUAGAUGUAAAUAAACGGUGGAGCGGCUGCAAAAGAGCCGCUCCACUGGGUAAAAUCUGAUUGUGCCGCGGAACCCGCUCCUCGGUUGGUCAACUUUGGAGACGCGGGCAACGCAGGUACAGACGUCUUAAGGGGCCGGGUGCAACCGGCCC
Molecule: small RNA, 186 nt
Filed under: uncultured Collinsella sp.
Lineage: Bacteria; Bacillati; Actinomycetota; Coriobacteriia; Coriobacteriales; Coriobacteriaceae
Description: Collinsella-1 RNA
Rfam family: Collinsella-1 RNA
Source: RNAcentral